RNAcentral lists this ribosomal RNA (253 nucleotides) under uncultured bacterium. RNAcentral describes it as "partial 16S ribosomal RNA". It matches the Rfam family "Bacterial small subunit ribosomal RNA", at positions 524 to 776 of the family's 1533-position model. The record is from RNAcentral.
UACGUAGGCAGCGAGCGUUGUUCGGAAUUACUGGGCGUAAAGAGUGUGUAGGCGGUGCUCUAAGUUCGGUGUGAAAUCUCCCGGCUUAACUGGGAGGGUGCGCCGGAAACUGGAGUGCUCGAGCGUGGGAGAGGAAAGCGGAAUUCCUGGUGCAGCGGUGAAAUGCGUAGAUAUCAGGAGGAACACCUGCGGUGUAGACGGCUUUCUGGACCAUUGCUGACGCUGAGACACGAAAGCGUGGGUAGCAAACAGG